AGGUCCUACGGGGGGCAGCAGUGGGGAAUAUUGCACAAUGGGGGAAACCCUGAUGCAGCGAUGCCGCGUGGAGGAAGAAGGUUUUCGGAUUGUAAACUCCUUUUAUCAGGGACGAUAAUGACGGUACCUGAAGAAUAAGCUCCGGCUAACUACGUGCCAGCAGCCGCGGUAAUACGUAGGGAGCAAGCGUUAUCCGGAUUUACUGGGUGUAAAGGGCGUGUAGGCGGGCAUGCAAGCCAGAAG
This 243-nucleotide ribosomal RNA is filed under the name uncultured bacterium. Its description in RNAcentral is "partial 16S ribosomal RNA". It matches the Rfam family "Bacterial small subunit ribosomal RNA", at positions 334 to 594 of the family's 1533-position model. The record is from RNAcentral.